CGUAGGGUGCGAGCGUUGUCCGGAAUUACUGGGCGUAAAGAGUUCGUAGGCGGUUUGUCGCGUCGUUUGUGAAAACCCGGGGCGUCAACUUCGGGCUUGCAGGCGAUACGGGCAGACUUGAGUGUCUCAGGGGAGACUGGAAUUCCUGGUGUAGCGGUGAAAUGCGCAGAUAUCAGGAGGAACACCGGUGGCGAAGGCGGGUCUCUGGGGAAACAACUGACGCUGAGGACGAAAGCGUGGGUAGCAAACAGGAUU
This 255-nucleotide ribosomal RNA is filed under the name uncultured bacterium. RNAcentral describes it as "partial 16S ribosomal RNA". It matches the Rfam family "Bacterial small subunit ribosomal RNA", at positions 526 to 779 of the family's 1533-position model. The record is from RNAcentral.